CUCUAACCCUUGGCUUGGAUUUGCGUUUAGCCUAGCCAUUGGAUGAUGUCGACAAAUCUGCUUUGUUUGCAUUGUAGAAAAUUCCGCUGCCUGUGUAGAUCUCACUGCUCCUAGGCAGUGAUUUGGUUUAUUAUUGUGUGAGGUGUUUCUGGGUACUGGAACAUGCUUGUUUCCUUGCAUUUCUGCUUCCUGUACUACUUUUCUCGUUCAUUCUUAUUUAUAAACACUCAAAUUGUUGGUUGUGCUUUAUGUUUAGGAUCUGUUGGUAAUGUGUGUAUCAAGAAUAAAAAUAAGAAUCAAGGUGUUAAGCGUACGUACAUGCAACAUUUAUCUCCUUUCCUCCUACAUGUAGCCAGCUUGUAGAACCAUGUUUUGUUGUUGCUGCUAAUUUGUUUCACAAUACCCUCGAUGCAAAUGGACAGACUUAUUACAAGUUGAAUUGUGUAUGCUCAAGUGCCCAGCAGGGUAUUUUAGAUGGCUGCUAUCUCGAAUCUUUUCUAAGUAUAUCAGCGUUUAGCUAUGCUGACCAUGAUUUGUUCUUGUCCGAGGAAAACACAAACUAAUCGACUCUGGUGGCCUUCUUCUUCGACUCCAUGUGCUUAGCAUGUAAAGAAAGAAAGAUUAAGAAGGAUGAGCCAGAUCCUUUAACUUUCUCUGUAUGCAUGUAAUCCAAUCGGUCUGGUGCAGAGGUGUUGGGACACGGCCGCCAUUGUGUGCCCUUGUGUCUAGCUCAAGUCGGUUCGAGAGUCUAGCGUGACCUGGAAAGCUGUCGCUGGCCAUGGCUUAUGUGUAACAAUUGCUGUUUCGGUCCUUGUAUUGUUUGGCCCAUGUAACAUCCUUCUUGUAAUGCUCCAAAAUAGGAGUUGUAAUAGUGAGUUGUUUACCUUGCCAUGUUUGUAGUCUUUGGUCACGAGUAAAAAAUGGGUUGUGCUCUUGGCA
This is a long non-coding RNA of Lolium rigidum, 939 nucleotides long. RefSeq lists it as uncharacterized. The record is from RefSeq and is a predicted model, not a curated record. The transcript has 2 exons. NCBI's taxonomy places the organism in Eukaryota, Viridiplantae, Streptophyta, Magnoliopsida, Poales, Poaceae.